Non-coding RNA from Balaenoptera acutorostrata (minke whale), 73 nucleotides. NCBI's taxonomy places the organism in Eukaryota, Metazoa, Chordata, Mammalia, Artiodactyla, Balaenopteridae. The record is from the annotation of a RefSeq genome assembly.
UCCCUGGUGGUCCAGUGGGUAAGACUCCGCACUCACAAUGCGGGGGGCCUGGGUUCGAUUCCUGGUCAAGAAA